Molecule: unclassified non-coding RNA, 350 nt
Filed under: soil metagenome
Description: partial contains 5.8S ribosomal RNA, internal transcribed spacer 2, and large subunit ribosomal RNA
Rfam family: 5.8S ribosomal RNA (bases 1-120)
Source: RNAcentral
GAUGAAGAACGAAGCGAACUGCGAUAAGUAAUGUGAAUUGCAGAAUUCAGUGAAUCAUCGAGUCUUUGAACGCACAUUGCGCCCCCUGGCAUUCCGGGGGGCAUGCCUGUCCGAGCGUCAUUGCUGCCCUUCAAGCCCGGCUUGUGUGUUGGGUCGUCGUCCCCCCCGGGGGACGGGCCCGAAAGGCAGCGGCGGCACCGCGUCCGGUCCUCGAGCGUAUGGGGCUAUGUCACCCGCUCGAUUAGGGCCGGCCGGGCGCCAGCCGGCGUCUCCAACCUUCUAUUUUACCAGGUUGACCUCGGAUCAGGUAGGGAUACCCGCUGAACUUAAGCAUAUCAAUAAGCGGAGGA